CCUGGGUGGACAAAAACGUGCUUUCCCGGACUGGGUUGAAGGGGAGAAAGGGAGAGGUCGGGCUUGGGGGGCUGCCUCCCGCGGCUCAGCAGUUCCUCUGACCAUCCGAGGACCAUGCGGCCAACGGGUCAUCACGUCGCGCAUCGUGGGUGGAGAGGACGCCGAACUCGGGCGUUGGCCGUGGCAGGGGAGCCUGCGCCUGUGGGAUUCCCACGUAUGCGGAGCGAGCCUGCUCAGCCACCGCUGGGCACUCACGGCGGCGCACUGCUUUGAAACCUAUAGUGACCUUAGUGAUCCCUCCGGGUGGAUGGUCCAGUUUGGCCAGCUGACUUCCAUGCCAUCCUUCUGGAGCCUGCAGGCCUACUACACCCGUUACUUCGUGUCGAAUAUCUAUCUGAGCCCUCGCUACCUGGGGAAUUCACCCUAUGACAUUGCCUUGGUGAAGCUGUCUGCACCUGUCGCCUACACUAAACACAUCCAGCCCAUCUGUCUCCAGGCCUCCACAUUUGAGUUUGAGAACCGGACAGACUGCUGGGUGACUGGCUGGGGGUACAUCAAAGAGGAUGAGGCACUGCCAUCUCCCCACACCCUCCAGGAAGUUCAGGUCGCCAUCAUAAACAACUCUAUGUGCAACCACCUCUUCCUCAAGUACAGUUUCCGCAAGGACAUCUUUGGAGAC
Molecule: small RNA, 679 nt
Filed under: Pan troglodytes (chimpanzee)
Lineage: Eukaryota; Metazoa; Chordata; Mammalia; Primates; Hominidae
Description: retained intron
Source: RNAcentral